AGAACGAACGCUGGCGGCAGGCUUAACACAUGCAAGUCGAACGCUCCGCAAGGAGAGUGGCAGACGGGUGAGUAACACGUGGGAACGUACCCUUUACUACGGAAUAACGCAUGGAAACGUGUGCUAAUACCGUAUGUGCCCUUCGGGGGAAAGAUUUAUCGGUAAAGGAUCGGCCCGCGUUGGAUUAGCUAGUUGGUGGGGUAAAGGCCUACCAAGGCGACGAUCCAUAGCUGGUCUGAGAGGAUGAUCAGCCACAUUGGGACUGAGACACGGCCCAAACUCCUACGGGAGGCAGCAGUGGGGAAUAUUGGACAAUGGGCGCAAGCCUGAUCCAGCCAUGCCGCGUGAGUGAUGAAGGCCCUAGGGUUGUAAAGCUCUUUCACCGGAGAAGAUAAUGACGGUAUCCGGAGAAGAAGCCCCGGCUAACUUCGUGCCAGCAGCCGC
RNAcentral lists this ribosomal RNA (444 nucleotides) under uncultured bacterium. RNAcentral's name for it is "SSU rRNA". It matches the Rfam family "Bacterial small subunit ribosomal RNA", at positions 26 to 518 of the family's 1533-position model. The record is from RNAcentral.